GUGCUUUCGAGGCGAGUGCAGUACAGACUCACGCUGCUGCACGGUCUGGUGAUUAGCGCCGCCCCUGGGGGAUGGCAACCGCCAAUCGGUGGAUGGCGUCGCGGCGCCCGCCGUCGUCGCGGGAAUAUCCCCUGCGGGUCUGCACAAUCGCGGAUAUAGCGGAUAGCGUCGGGCAAAGCCACGACAAAAAUCAAUCACUCGCUGCUUCCUCUUGUUCGCGAUGCUUCUCCCUCUCGCUCCUCUUUUCGUCCAUCCCGUCUCCUAUUUCUGUUUCCCUCCGGUUACACGCUCUCUCUCUCUCUCUCUCUCUCUCUCUCCUUCUCCUCCAUCGGCUCGCUGUUUGCGCAAACCAAAACAGAGACAGCGUCUCUAUAUACCGUGCGCUUUUUCCCUCUCGUGCGUUCAACUUUAGUUUACCUGUCAUGAUAUCUCGGUAAUCUCAGUCGUCAGAUUAGCCUGUGAAGGCUUCCCGAAAUCGUAAUUAGCGCGAAAGAACGGACAGAGUCGAUUGUAGAUGGCUAAUUGCGAUCGUAAUAAAUUUAUACCGCUCAAGAUAUACCGAGGUAAAAGAGAUAAACGCGAGAAUCGGUAUAUUCCGAAAGAAAAUACGUGAGAACGGCUUUGUGUCGCGGAACUUGAUAAUCGCCUGAUGUCGAGGUGUCAUGUACGAAUCCUACCGUCGCGAAUCGACCGAUUUUUCUCGCGCGAUCUUCCCACGUUCUCUCGCAUAUAUCCCGUACACGCGCGUGCGCUCGCAUCAUUCUUGUUCACGUCGAUCCACGUCCUCGUCGAGACGACAUGCAAGAACGGGACAAGGACAAGCGCGAGAUCCUAGCCGGGCUGACCGACGACCCGCCUUGAAUUUCAUUCACACACCCGCGAGGUCGAGAGUCUCGCUACUUACGCGGAAUACAAAACGAUGUUCCCAUGGAUCGAAUGAUACUGUCGUGUCAGCCGAAAUAAGAGAGAUGCCUCCUCUCUCUCUCUCUCUCUCUCGCUUCGAGAGACCUUCCGCGAGGAAAAUUUUCAAGCUACUUGUCUUUGGAAAGGAAAAGAGCAUUGAAUUAUAGCUCCAACUUUUAGUAACAUUUAUACUGUACAAUUGACCUCAUUUUGCAAACAGCUAAUUUCCAUUUUGCAAACUUAACUUUUCAGUCACUCAACCAAGUUUCGCGUUAAAUCAGCGAAUUCUAAAAUUAUUUCCAUAGCUUGCGAAUUUUGCCAGAAAGAUCAUUAUCAGCGAAAAGAAAUAGAUAUAAUUAUUUCAUCCUCGAGAAAGAUUUGGAAUUAUCAUUCUUCCAUUUAUAAUUCUUUCGUCUUUCCGUUGCAUAAUCAUUAGCCGCAAAACUCCGCUAAAUACGAAAGCGAUAUUUCUUACCGAAACCACUCAUUGUCAGUAUAUCGCUUAGCGAAGCCAUCGUCACGUCACGGCGGCGGACGUGGUUAUGACAUCAAAUCGAUCCGCGAGCUAUCGAGCGGCAAACUCGCUGCGCGCAAGAGAGCUUUUCAAAGAACUUCCGCCGCCAUAGUUUCUUUUUUUUUUUUUUUCGUUUCUCAAAGAACCCAUAGUUUCUAAAGCCGGUGCGUUACGCGUCGCGCGCGAUUUUCAUAAAUUAAGACCGGAAGGCGUGCGUAUACACGCGGCGCGACAGAGCGAUCUCGGGAGAAGGGAGACGAACCGAGGAGACAGGGAGAAAGAGAGCUCGAGUGACUGAAAACAUCCCAUGGCGAUAAGAAUCUCCCGGCGAUUAAUUGGUAUGACAGCGGCACACGUUAGGCCGCGCAGUGCGCCAGCCGUGACAGCGCGUCCGCGUAUCUCGCGCGAUAUCUCCUUAUGACGACGCCCGGUCGACGACUCCUUCGUCUCCUCCCUUGCCGCCCUCUCUGUCCGCGUCUUAGGUUCUCGCGUCUACCUGUGUCGAGAGGGAGAAAAAAAAGACGAAGAAACGAAGGGUGUCUCGAGGAGAAGCGCACCCGAGGGCGCCGAUAAAGAGGAGAUCGCCCUUGCGGCACGUCGCGAUACGAACGCCUGCGGUUCCCACCGGAACUGUAGUUCCGGGAAAAGCCUGUAGAGAGGCCAGCUGCCGGAAGUCGCCGAGAGACGCGAAGCGCCGCGCUUUACCGCGCGAAAGCCCGAGCGAGGUGAAAAGCGCAAGCUCGCCCGUUGCAGGGAUCUACUUGCCACCCGGGGGUUCGUAUCCCCGAUGCCAAACCCUCCCCCGCAGCCCCCUUAUGCCCUUUGUCUUUUCGCGUGGGCGCGGAUACCCACGUGGUAAAGCAGGAAUCUCGGAAAAGCUCGCAGGACCUUAUCCUGAGGUCGUAUUCUAGGUCUCGACCUUGCGAUAACGCGGCCGAAUGUUGAGCUUUCCACCGCGACGUCGUUUGAUAAUGAAUUGGAACGGGGUAGGAAAUCAUUUUUUUUUAAUCACGAGUAUCAAUAAGUACUCCCUAAUCUGUGGCUCGUACUAAAGGCUAUUGAUUUUACGUUAAGAAAAACAUUUCAAUAUUCAGCUAUAUAAAUAAGGAUUGCCAUCAUCUGUUUGUGCAUCGAGACAGUUGCAUAAAAUUUCAUUAUACUUGAAAGAUUUAAUGUGUUCAAUGUUCAAUGUGAGAUUGCAAUAUGAAGAGAAAUGUUUUCGAAAAAUUGAAACACACCGAACAUCGAAGAAUAAUUGAUUCCUUUACAAGAUUCGAUUGUUAUGAUUAACAGUCCGUAUUGGCGCUGUGCCCGAUUGGCCUUUGUAUAAAGCCGCGCGCACACGCGACAAUGUAAAGUGCAGCUGCAAGAAGCCUCGUCUGGAUCUCACCGAUUGCCGCUCCGAUGUCCGAGGUCAGCCGUGUCGGUUCGUGCUGGCCCCGAAGAUCGUUGGUCCACCUGCUCCGAGCGCGCGCGUAUGCGGCAAACGUUCACCUGCACUGGGUCCGCGUAGGCCAAACUUACACUUUCACGCGUACGCAGCCGCACACGAGAGCCGACAUCCACCUUUUCUUUUUUAUUUAUAGAUAUCUCAACAUCGACGAAACCAAAAACCUGUUCGAUUUUGGAGAGUCGCGCAUUCUUAUAUUUUGUCAACACCGAUUUUACUCUAAAAGAAUCUGUAACGAUCGACUACUUCAAGCUUGAAGUAUGGCGAUGUCUGCGGCAACCGAUCUUAUCUAAUUACAUUGACAAAUAAUGCGGGAAAAAUCCGAUUUUUCAUAAGAUUAAAAAAUGUUAAACUUGUUUUUUUCAAUUAAACGGAUUGUUCAGGGUGGCCGAUAAUAAUUUUUGUCGAUACCGCCGGCAUAUAAUUAUUCUUUUCCCCUGGUGGAUGAUCGUAACGAAGGAGAAAGAAGUUUGGUAGCACACCUUGCGCGACAGGUGCCAUUCUCUCGUGGAACGCAGGCGUAAGUAACAAGUACCCACGCGCUCGUUCAUACGAGUUUCUCUCUCUCUAUCUCCGGUUCUAUCUCUCUCGCAUGAUAAACGCGCAUCCACGCUCAGUUCCUACUCUCUUGCGUAUUAUAUACCCUACCGGUCGUCGUCGUCCUCGCGCUCGUGGUUGUUGGGCUAUAUCGUAUCGGUGCGCGCACUGGCCGUGUCCGGUAGACGCUAUCGUCGGUGCUUAAAAAUAUGUUAGCGGCCGGCGUAUAAGCACCGUGACCUCCGUGAUACGAUCUAAAGAGCCCAGGGGCCUGCUGGGACAGCGCGUCAGAUGCUCUUGCGACGGGGUGGUUCACCGAGGGUGACACGGGGAGAGAGAAAGAGGAGAGAAGGACCGUGACUGUAACCGUCACGCCGUCACCGUCGUCGAGAGUCACCGGAAAAAGGCUGAAACGAAAGGCUGACCUAUCUGAUGGGACACCCGGCUCGUGCACAUGCUCGGACAUCGCGAUAGAAAUUAAGAUGCCGAAGGCGGUUCCAUUAAUAACGUCGAGGCACAGGAGCUCUUUGUUUAACCGCGCUUGUCAUUUGAGCCCGCGGCGUGUUAGCUUCUGGGAGGAAGUAAGAAAUUGAUAGAGCCUCUGUGUGUAUCGGGUGAGAGAUCCGGUGAGGAGGAAGUAGACGAUAAUCUCGUCCGCGACACGAGGAGGAGAUGCGGCAGUCAGAGGUGAGGAGAAAAGAGGUCGCGUCAUUGCUGGCCAUGGCUCGUGAUCGAUGGCGCUGGGCGUUAUCUUCGCCACCCCCUCUUGUUCCCGCGGUAAUUCAUCAUCUCGGUCUGUUUUUCACUUACUUUAUAUGCAACAUAUUCCGUAAUUUUUAUUCAGUCAACCAGUCGCCGUCGCCGGUGCCAGCCAUCUCCAUACAGAGAGAACCCCGCCUCAUAAAAUAGCGAGCCGGGCUUCGGUGGACCAUCAUCUCCGCGAGUCGUGAAGGAUACAGCCGACUUGCUGAGGAAGCAGACGGGACGACUAACGUUCCCCUCGAUCCAAAGUAACUCCGACGGACGGAAGUCCGAGGGGUUACGCAAGCUUGCACUCUAUAUGCUAAGGAAUUUCGAUAUGGAGAUCUAUCCCCGGGACCGG
Molecule: long non-coding RNA, 4506 nt
Organism: Nylanderia fulva
Lineage: Eukaryota; Metazoa; Arthropoda; Insecta; Hymenoptera; Formicidae
Source: RefSeq, a predicted model, not a curated record